UGGGUUGUGGCUCCAUGGUAGAGCAGUUGCCUAGCAUGCAUGGGGCACUGGGUUCAAUCCCCAGCACCACAU
Molecule: transfer RNA, 72 nt
Filed under: Marmota marmota marmota (Alpine marmot)
Lineage: Eukaryota; Metazoa; Chordata; Mammalia; Rodentia; Sciuridae
Also listed under: 2 other names
Rfam family: tRNA
About the family: Transfer RNA (tRNA) molecules are approximately 80 nucleotides in length. Their secondary structure includes four short double-helical elements and three loops (D, anti-codon, and T loops). Further hydrogen bonds mediate the characteristic L-shaped molecular structure. tRNAs have two regions of fundamental functional importance: the anti-codon, which is responsible for specific mRNA codon recognition, and the 3' end, to which the tRNAs corresponding amino acid is attached (by aminoacyl-tRNA synthetases). tRNAs cope with the degeneracy of the genetic code in two manners: having more than one tRNA (with a specific anti-codon) for a particular amino acid; and 'wobble' base-pairing, i.e. permitting non-standard base-pairing at the 3rd anti-codon position.
Source: Rfam by way of RNAcentral